Molecule: long non-coding RNA, 614 nt
Organism: Triplophysa rosa
Lineage: Eukaryota; Metazoa; Chordata; Actinopteri; Cypriniformes; Nemacheilidae
Exons: 3
Source: RefSeq, a predicted model, not a curated record
AAGGUGCUAGGAUAAGUACUUGAAUACGUGUUCUGUCAGUUUUAUUUCACUGUUGUUAAAUUCCAGCGCGACGGCAAAACGGAAGUUCUUCUUCUUUGUUGCAAGACGGAUGUUAUGAUACACUGCUUUGCGAAAAGGCGGAAGUUAAGUGAUGUCAUUGUGAAAAGGGCCUAUUCAAGGUUUGGAUGAGACUGGAAACAUUCACAUCAGGAGGGACUGUGCGCUAAAGGCUCUUAUUUUUUUCCUGGGAGAAAAUCCGAAAGACCUAAUCAAAGAGUUGACCAGGCAGAUGAUUGUGAAAGUGACCUUGCGCAGCUCACCAUUGCAGUGUACAUUGUUCGGGAAGGAGGGAGGAGAAUUUCUUCAACCGCCUGACGACAUAUGCAUUGUGAUUGAGGGUGUGAAAAUUUUGAAUCAAGUGACUUCGGUCACAUCAGCUUGUGCACUUCUCAUGGGUAUGAUGUACGUAAUCAACUUGGUUUAUCCGAAACCCCUUCGAUUUACUUUCGAGGUCUUCCAGAAAGUUUUCUUGCAACUUGAUCAACACAAAAUGUCACACAGAGUUCAGAGUCUUUUUUUAGUAGAUUACAGUAAAUGUCACAUUGAAGCACUUC